CCUACGGGUGGCAGCAGUAGGGAAUUUUCCACAAUGGGCGAAAGCCUGAUGGAGCAACGCCGCGUGCAGGAUGAAGGCUUUCGGGUCGUAAACUGCUUUUAUAGGUGAAGCGGUAACCUAUGAAUAAGGGUCGGCUAACUACGUGCCAGCAGCCGCGGUCAUACGUAGGACCCAAGCGUUAUCCGGAAUUACUGGGCGUAAAGAGUGCGUAGGUGGCAUAGUAAGUAAGAAGUGAAAGCGUCCGGCUCAACCGGAUAUACAUUUUUUAAACUGCUAAGCUAGAGAAUGAGAGAGGUCACUGGAAUUCCAAGUGUAGGAGUGAAAUCCGUAGAUAUUUGGAGGAACACCGAUGGCGUAGGCAGGUGACUGGCUCAUUCUGACACUAAGGCACGAAAGCGUGGGUAGCAAACAGGAUUAGAUACCCUAGUAGUC
This 432-nucleotide ribosomal RNA is filed under the name uncultured bacterium. RNAcentral describes it as "partial 16S ribosomal RNA". It matches the Rfam family "Bacterial small subunit ribosomal RNA", at positions 338 to 795 of the family's 1533-position model. The record is from RNAcentral.